CCUACGGGAGGCAGCAGUGAGGAAUAUUGCACAAUGGGCGAAACCCUGAUGCAGCAAAGCCGCGUGAAGGAAGACGGCUCUCGGGGUGUAAACCUCUGUUUAUAGAGGAGAAAAGUGAGGCAAGUUGACGAGUAAGCAGGUGCUAAAUCAGUACCAGAAGCCGAGGUAAUACGUAGGAGGCAAGCGUUAUCCGGAUUUACUGGGUUUAUAGGGAGCGAAGACGGGAAGGUAAGUCAGUUGUGAGAACUACGGGCUCAACUGUAAGAUUGCAAUUGAUACUGGCAGUCUUGAGUACAGUAGAGGUAGGCGGAAUUCGUGGUGUAGCGGUGAAAUGCGUAGAUAUCAGGAGGAACACCGAUUGCGAAGGCAGCUUACUAAACUGUAACUGACAUUGAUGCUCGAAAGUGUGGGGAUCAAACAGGAUUAGAUACCCCAGUAGUC
This 441-nucleotide ribosomal RNA is filed under the name uncultured bacterium. RNAcentral's name for it is "partial 16S ribosomal RNA". It matches the Rfam family "Bacterial small subunit ribosomal RNA", at positions 338 to 795 of the family's 1533-position model. The record is from RNAcentral.